Molecule: long non-coding RNA, 1377 nt
Organism: Sinocyclocheilus grahami
Lineage: Eukaryota; Metazoa; Chordata; Actinopteri; Cypriniformes; Cyprinidae
Exons: 7
Source: RefSeq, a predicted model, not a curated record
CAUGUCGUUCCAAACCCGUAAUGCCUUCGUUCAUCUUUGGAACACAAAUUAAGUUUGACCGUUAAACUGCCUGCUAUUGCGCAUGCGUGGUCUGUCUUCGCGGUAUUUUGCGCGGGGUCUCCUCUUCCAGACACGCCAUCAAAGGGACUGGAUUUCGCCUGGUUGAGGACUUGAGGUUUGGAAUACAGUGUAAACGUUUGCAAAUUUCCUCACAGAAGCAGAGAGGUCCUCCAGAAACACUACAGGUUUCACCACUAUCAAGGGCGAUCCUGGCAGCAGCCUUGCCUGUACACUGACUGCAUCUGCACGUUCAAAACUAUAGGAAAGGGAUGCAUUACAUGAGGAAUUGAAGAAGAAACAUCUCAACAUGGCAUUUGUUGACUCGAAAAUGGAAUCGACAUUCUCAUUGAGAAGGAAGGAGAUAGCUGAAGAAGAACCUCUUUUAGCUGAUGUACUAAGACAAUGACCAGCAUUGUUUUUGGAACAUCAGAUAUGUGCUGAGUUUUACAGAAUCACACAAACAAACCUGAAGAGUAAAUUUUUCUCUUCUCUGGAUGAAUAUACACCGCGGAUGAUCAAGUUGUAUAGGGUACGCGGCGGAGCAUAUGGAGAUAAUAUGAAGACCCUCCUAGACCAACUUGAUAAUCAGACCUCCGAUGUGCUUGCUCAUAGAAAGGCUACAGCUCUCAAAGGGAAAAGUCUGAACAUUUCCUGAAGACUUGCCUGGACACAGAGCCAGAAGAAAAUCAUACAGAAGGGAAUAAAGAUGGGGAUCUUAACCAUCGUUGAAGAUGACGUUGCGACCAUCCACUCAAACCCAAAUGUAAGGUGCCUGUCUGUGGUUCUAGAGGAGCAUAUCGUGCUGGAUAAUGUGCAAGACCUUCCCACUGCUAUAGCUCUUCUCUUUGGCUUGAUUUAUGCCCUGAACAUGAACUAUCCUAAAGAACUCAAGUACACCUUUGAAACGAUUCAAAAGGUGUUUAUUGGUCUUGACCCCCAGUGCUCAGCAAGAGUCCAGUCCUUCAAAAGCAAACUGUCAAUGUCUAAAUAGCUGGAUAUGGAUAAGGGAAAGCACUUAGCUGUUGCUGUUGUUCCAUCUGAUGUUUCCGUAAAAGUGUCAAAAGAGGAAAUAUUUUAAAUUUUAAUGUAAUGAACCUUAAAUGUUGUUUUUACAGUUGUAAAACUGGAUUGCUCAAACACAUUUGUUGCAAUUUUUAGAAUCCUGAAGUCUUGUUCAUAGAUAUAGCACUUUAAGACUGUAAAAUCACUUUAAAAGCAUUCCAAGAAGAGAGGAAAGUGUUCUUUUGCCUCUUAAGGGGCCUCAAUGUGACAAAUUGUGAAUAAAUAUUUUCUGUAAUGAUGGCAUAGUCUUUUGUA